Molecule: long non-coding RNA, 354 nt
Filed under: Homo sapiens (human)
Lineage: Eukaryota; Metazoa; Chordata; Mammalia; Primates; Hominidae
Description: HSALNT0403734
Source: RNAcentral
ACAAAGCCAGAACCCAACCAGGGCUAACACUCCAAGUGAACCAGCACUAAGGCUGAAUCAUUUGAAUUAUUGUCCUGAGUUCCUUUGUCCCAAGGAAAAGCAUGGAUCCCAUUGCUGUUGUACAGGGUUGAAUAUUAAAGGAGGAGCUUCAGAGAAUCAAGCCUUAAACGAGAAGUCUGCAAAGUGUGGCUGGAACAAUGAGAUAGCAGAGCUGUAAGACAUAGCAGCCCAGAUCCCUGAGUCACUAUAGGAGAGCUCCAAGGAGAAGUGACUCACUGACACACUCAGCAAAUAUACUCCGUGUCCACUGAGCAAAAUGCACUUCCUAUGUAAGCUAAAGAGAGAAACCCAUAG